RNAcentral lists this long non-coding RNA (598 nucleotides) under Struthio camelus australis. RNAcentral describes it as "lncRNA (ENSSCUG00000010035.1)". The record is from RNAcentral. Lineage: Eukaryota; Metazoa; Chordata; Aves; Struthioniformes; Struthionidae.
UGAAAGAAGAAUACUGGGGGCAGCAGGAAGAGCCUCAGAGCCCUGCAGGGUGUAUACUGUGCUGCCAAAGUCAAUAUUGCCUCAGGCUCCAAAAAUAAGUAGAAAACUCACUUUCCAAAGGUUGUUUUAGCUUUCCAAUUGGGAUGUAGUGUUUUUUUUUUCCUUGUAUGCACAGUAAGAGUGCUGGAAUUUGAGUCCCUCUCAGUGCUCUCUACCAACUUGGAUAUCUGUGGCAUAUCUCCACUGAUUUGAUGUUAAUUUUUUCCUCCUCUCUCUGGUUCCCAUGUUCUGCAGCACAUUUUGAAAGCUCAGUAGCCUUCUGUGAAGUCUGGUGAAGUCUAUCUGGACAGCAAAGGGCUGGGGCAGUGGUGUGAUGCACCUGCUAAAUGGAACCAUCAUAUCAAUAGAGCUAGAGCAAUACGGCCAGAGAUGCUGAACUAAGGAUUUGACGGAUGGUGGCCCACCAGGAAAAUACACUGGUGCGAUGCCUUUUUACAAGGCUGUUGGAAAAGGUCCUUGAUGAGGUGAGGUGGAUGGCAGUACGAGAGGCGGAGGUGCUGUCCUUGUGCCCCGUCUGGACUUUACAGAACCGGGAACA